Molecule: ribosomal RNA, 324 nt
Filed under: uncultured eukaryote
Lineage: Eukaryota
Description: partial 18S ribosomal RNA
Rfam family: Eukaryotic small subunit ribosomal RNA
Source: RNAcentral
CCCUUAGAUGUCCUGGGCUGCACGCGCGCUACACUGAUGUGUCCAGUAAGCACCUAACCUCUUCCGAAAGGAACGGGUAACCUUAGCAAAGCACAUCGUGAUGGGGAUAGAUUAUUGCAAUUAUUAGUCUUGAACGAGGAAUUCCUAGUAAGCACAAGUCAUCAGCUUGUGUUGAUUACGUCCCUGCCCUUUGUACACACCGCCCGUCGCUCCUACCGAUUGAAUGUUCCGGUGAGCUCUUCGGACUGCGCGGUCUGCAGUUUCUGCGUUCCGUGCGGAAAGUUGUGCAAACCUUAACAUUUAGAGGAAGGAGAAGUCGUAACA